AAUUAAAAUUUUCAUACAUUUUUACUGUUAAAAACUAACAUGUGAUUGAUGAAAUAACCAUACAGUUACACAUGACAUGUCACGUAUACCUCAUGUCGACAUACAUGAACUGGUUUUUAACAAUAUAAAUAGAUGAAAAUUUUAACA
Molecule: non-coding RNA, 147 nt
Organism: Gossypium hirsutum (cotton)
Lineage: Eukaryota; Viridiplantae; Streptophyta; Magnoliopsida; Malvales; Malvaceae
Source: Rfam